UGGCUAAUCUCGCCAGCCACGGGCUGGCCUCGGCCACCCCUCCCCUCUCCUCUCCUUUCUUUGUUCAGGCACGCCGCUCGGUAACCGCGGGCCUUGGGGAUGGAGACUCGGCUUCCCAGCCUAUCCGUGGGCCACCGCUAGGCGAUCGGAGCAGCUGCUACUAAAGUGCCAGACCCCCACCACCCCAUCUACCAGCUGAUCUACGUUCCACCUUCCUCAAGGCGCACAACUGUCUCCAAUCAGCCCUCGUCACCACCUACAUAUAAGCCUGCCUGUUCCCGGAAAUCCUCGCCAAAGUAUUGCAGUUACUUCCAGCGUGUUUUCCCCCCGUGUUCCUGAUCCACGUCAUUCCUGCCGCCAAGCCAGCUGCUAUGUCCUCACCACUGCCUGCCACCUGUCUGCGCCACUGCCUGCCAACCCACCUAGGACCACCUCCAUUACCUUUCCUAAAUAAAC
Molecule: long non-coding RNA, 456 nt
Organism: Phyllopteryx taeniolatus (common seadragon)
Lineage: Eukaryota; Metazoa; Chordata; Actinopteri; Syngnathiformes; Syngnathidae
Exons: 4
Source: RefSeq, a predicted model, not a curated record